This is an RNA transcript of Erpetoichthys calabaricus (reedfish), 1851 nucleotides long. It is a transcript of the gene named motilin receptor, with no coding region annotated. The transcript is spliced from 3 exons. NCBI's taxonomy places the organism in Eukaryota, Metazoa, Chordata, Cladistia, Polypteriformes, Polypteridae. The record is from RefSeq and is a predicted model, not a curated record.
CGCAGCUCUGUCUUUUGUUAUCUCGCAGCGCGCAGGCGGGCACCGCAGACGAAGGGAAGAGCAGCAGAGCAGCAGAGACUCUCCGGCCGCUCACAAGCAUGGAUGUGUCGUCCAGCUGCGAAUGAAGGACCAGACAGGACAUUAAAGGUGACCCCUGUAAUUUCUGCUGUACUCCUCUUUUAUGAAAUUUCAUGCAGUACUUCUUGCACUUUCUUUGGUUUUGGUUUAAUCGUAAAACUAACAUUUUCUUUCAGAUCUCCACCUAACCUCAAGCCAUGGAGGAACACCAGGAGAUGGCCAGCUUGGUCUCCUUGUUCCCCCUUUCAGCGCUGAUCCCUAUCACCAUCAUCUGCAUUCUGCUCUUCUGUGUUGGUGUCUGCGGGAACACCAUGACGAUUCUGAUCAUUCGGAGGUACAAGGACAUGAAGACCACCACCAACCUCUACCUGUCGAGCAUGGCCGUCUCUGACCUGAUCAUUCUGCUCUGCCUCCCCUUUGACCUCUACCGUCUCUGGAAGUAUUACCCCUGGAUUUUCGGCGAGGUUAUCUGUCGACUCUUCCAUUACAUUAAUGAGGGGUGCACGUAUGCCACCAUCCUGCACAUCACGGCCCUGAGCAUCGAGAGGUACCUGGCCAUUUGCUUUCCUCUUAAGGCCAAAGUAUUUGUAACCCGGCGGCGAGUGAAGUACGCCAUAGUACUGCUGUGGACCUUGGCGCUCUCCUCUGCUGCUCCCAUGCUUUUCCUUUUCGGAGUUCAGUAUGAAAAUAGCACUCACCCAGUUGCUGAACACAGAGCGUGCAAGUACACUGCGCACGCCCUCAGCUCCGGGCUCCUCGACACCAUGAUUUGGAUGUCUACUCUCUACUUCAUCAUCCCCAUGACCUGCUUAACUUUCUUGUAUGGAUCCAUAGGUUGGAAACUGUGGAGGAGCAAGACUCAGGUUCAGGGUCCGCAUGCUGCUAACCGGGAAAGAUACCACAAGCAAACAGUCAAAAUCCUGGCUGUCGUCGUCUUGGCCUUUGCCAUCUGCUGGCUGCCCUUCCACAUUGGCAGAUACCUCUUCAUGCACUUUCAGACCUACUACGAGAUGACACUGAGCCAGUAUUUCAACAUGGUGUCAAUGCACCUCUUCUACCUGAGUGCUUCUAUCAACCCCGUCCUUUACAACCUCAUGUCCAAGAAGUACAGAGCGGCCGCCUACCGGCUCCUCCUGCACAAGAAGUCCAGCAAGAGGGCUUUGUUUGGCACCCGGGAAGAUCCUGAGGGUUUCACAGAGACCAGCACAGGGAUAUGAAGAAAAAAAUCAAUAAUAAAGUUAAAAUUCUGUGAACACUUGUAAGAUAAAAAAGGACAAAAAAGCUUUUUCUUAGACUUUGUGACUUUUUGACUUCUUUUUCUUAUUGUUACUGACAUACUACUGAAUUUGAAACAUGAAGAUCUAGCGGAAGGAGGACCUCAGGAAAUGGGAUGUGCUGCUGCAGGAACAAGCCAUAUGUAUAUCACUCAGGUCAUGACUCUUGAGGUCCAACAGAAGAACCUGAAUUACAAUCACAAGUCCAAGAAGAACUGCUCCUGCUGGUUACAGCUCUCUGAAGAGGCACACAAUGGCACACACACUCAAAGAGGAUCCUCGGUUUUGUAGUGAGCCACCAUAGGUGCAAAAACUCAAUCCUGAGAGGCCAUUCUGGUCAACUGGGCAAAGACAGCCAGAUCUGAAACUGAACCUGCAACAGUGUACCUCUUGAGACCUUAAUCUUUGCUGGCUAUAACUAAAAUGAUAAUUAAAAUUACUUCAUUAAGGCUGGAAUUUAUAAAAAAAAAUGUUCCUGUGUGUUCUCGGGAUUUACUGA